This 647-nucleotide long non-coding RNA is filed under the name Pandoravirus celtis. Its description in RNAcentral is "hypothetical ncRNA". The record is from RNAcentral.
GACGCGGGCAAAAUGGAAAAAGAGGUGGUCAUCAGGCGAGCGGCGCCGACGUGCGGGUCGCCGUGAUGUAGCCGGGCUCGCUGACCACCUCGGCGGCGGUGGGUUCGCGGAACCGCACCCAACAUCCGUGCGCCUGCCACAGCGGGUUGGCCGGUCGCGUGUUGGUGUCGUACACGUAUUGCACGCAGCCGGCGUGUGAAGUGCACCCGGCCUCGCAUGCGGCCUGUGUGGCGGCCGAGCCGAGGUAGGUACCCACAGAGGGGUCGGCAAUCCUCUGCGAGAGGGCCUCGUCGGCCAGGUUGGUGCGGAUCGAGUUGACGCCCGUCUGCACGGCAAAGCCCGUCGCCGUGGGUGUCGGUGUCGGCACCACUCCUCCGCCGCCCUCGUAGCGCGCCCGAUAAAUCAGCCAGCCGACGAGAGCGCCCACCAACAGCGCCAACAAGAGGCCGGCGAUGAUCCACGGCGCCGCGCCGAGGCCGCGCUCCACCGGCACUGCCGGAGCGGCCACCACGACAGGUGUCCCUGCCACUGACGCCAUCCAAGUAAUGGGGAUUUCCUUUUUUCUUAUUCCUUCUCUUUUCCCCUAUCUCCCUGUAUGUUUCCCUUUUUUUUCUCUAUUGCGCGUUGUUUUUCCGCUUUCCCUUUUU